AUGGUUGGAUGGCAUCAUCAAUUCAAUGGACAUGAGUGUGAGGAAACUCCAAGAGAUAGUGAAGGACAGGAAGCCUGGUGUGCUGAGGCCCAGGGGUGUCUCCAAGAGUGGGACAUGACUGAGACUGAGCAACAGGCAAGGGCGGGGACACAGUCCUCAGAUCCACUCAGAUCAACUCAGAAAGGGUGGGGACACGGUCCUCAGAUCAAGGGCGGGGAAACAGUCCUCAGACCCACUCAGACCAACUCAGAAAGGGCGGGGACACAGUCCUCAGAUCAAGGGUGGGGACACGGUCCGCAGAUCCCCUUGACCAACUCAGAAAGGGUGGGGACACAGUCCUCAGAUCCACUCAGACCAACUCAGAAAGGGUGGGGACACGGUCCUCAGACCCACUCAGACCAACUCAGAAAGGGUGGGGACACAGUCCUCAGAUCCCCUCGACCAACUCAGAAAGGGCGGGGACACAGUCCUCAGAUCCCCUCAGACCAACUCAGAAAGGGUGGGGACACAGUCCUCAGAUCCCCUCGACCAACUCAGAAAGGGUGGGGACACAGUCCUCAGAUCCCCUCGACCAACUCAGAAAGGGUGGGGACACGGUCCUCAGACCCACUCAGACCAACUCAGAAAGGGCGGGGACACAGUCCUCAGAUCCCCUCAGACCAACUCAGAAAGGGUGGGGACACAGUCCUCAGACCCACUCAGACCAACUCAGAAAGGGUGGGGACACAGUCCUCAGAUCCCCUCGACCAACUCAGAAAGGGUGGGGACACAGUCCUCAGACCCACUCAGACCAACUCAGAAAGGGUGGGGACACAGUCCUCAGAUCCCCUCGACCAACUCAGAAAGGGCGGGGACACAGUCCUCAGAUCCCCUCAGACCAACUCAGAAAGGGUGGGGACACGGUCCUCAGAUCCCCUCGACCAACUCAGAAAGGGCGGGGACACAGUCCUCAGAUCCCCUCAGACCAACUCAGAAAGGGUGGGGACACAGUCCGCAGAUCCCCUCGACCAACUCAGAAAGGGUGGGGACACAGUCCUCAGAUCCCCUCGACCAACUCAGAAAGGGUGGGGACACAGUCCUCAGAUCCCCUCGACCAACUCAGAAAGGGUGGGGACACAGUCCGCAGAUCCCCUCGACCAACUCAGAUAA
Molecule: long non-coding RNA, 1149 nt
Filed under: Bos indicus x Bos taurus (hybrid cattle)
Lineage: Eukaryota; Metazoa; Chordata; Mammalia; Artiodactyla; Bovidae
Description: lncRNA (ENSBIXG00005004273.1)
Source: RNAcentral